UGUAGCUCGGGCGUGGGCGCCGCGGUAGUGCUUGGGUGGCAAGGGUUGUUGUGAAUUACGUGGCGUAAAUGGCUCGUAGGCGGCCUACUAAGUCUGACGUUAAAUCCCUCGUCUGAACCGGGGAACUGCGUCGGCUACUUGAUGGCUUGAGGUUGGGAGAGGGAGGCGGAAUUCCAGGUGUAGCGGUGAAAUGCGUAGAUAUCUGGAGGAACACCGGUGGCGAAGGCGGCAUCCUGGACCAAUUCUGACGCUGAGGAGCGAAAGCCAGGGGAGCAAACGGGAUUAGAUACCCGUGUAGUC
RNAcentral lists this ribosomal RNA (300 nucleotides) under uncultured Acidimicrobium sp. RNAcentral describes it as "bacterial SSU rRNA". It matches the Rfam family "Bacterial small subunit ribosomal RNA", at positions 495 to 795 of the family's 1533-position model. Lineage: Bacteria; Bacillati; Actinomycetota; Acidimicrobiia; Acidimicrobiales; Acidimicrobiaceae. The record is from RNAcentral.